GAUGAACGCUGGCGGCGUGCCUAAUACAUGCAAGUCGAGCGAACGGACGAGAAGCUUGCUUCUCUGAUGUUAGCGGCGGACGGGUGAGUAACACGUGGAUAACCUACCUAUAAGACUGGGAUAACUUCGGGAAACCGGAGCUAAUACCGGAUAAUAUUUUGAACCACAUGGUUCAAAAGUGAAAGACGGUCUUGCUGGCACUUAUAGAUGGAUCCGCGCUGCAUUAGCUAGUUGGUAAGGUAACGGCUUACCAAGGCAACGAUGCAUAGCCGACCUGAGAGGGUGAUCGGCCACACUGGAACUGAGACACGGUCCAGACUCCUACGGGAGGCAGCAGUAGGGAAUCUUCCGCAAUGGGCGAAAGCCUGACGGAGCAACGCCGCGUGAGUGAUGAAGGUCUUCGGAUCGUAAAACUCUGUUAUUAGGGAAGAACAUAUGUGUAAGUAACUGUGCACAUCUUGACGGUACCUAAUCAGAAAGCCACGGCUAACUACGUG
This 497-nucleotide ribosomal RNA is filed under the name uncultured bacterium. Its description in RNAcentral is "partial 16S ribosomal RNA". It matches the Rfam family "Bacterial small subunit ribosomal RNA", at positions 28 to 507 of the family's 1533-position model. The record is from RNAcentral.